Molecule: ribosomal RNA, 1096 nt
Filed under: Xylariaceae sp. genotype 606
Lineage: Eukaryota; Fungi; Ascomycota; Sordariomycetes; Xylariales; Xylariaceae
Description: eukaryotic LSU rRNA
Rfam family: Eukaryotic large subunit ribosomal RNA (bases 512-1096)
Source: RNAcentral
GGAUCAUUAUAGAGUUAUCAUAACUCCAAACCCAUGUGAACAUACCUAUUGUUGCCUCGGCAGGUCGCAGACUGCUGGGAAAGGGCCCUCCCUAGCUUGGGAGGCUCUACCCGGGAGCCGCGGGUAAGCCUGCCGAUGGCCCGCAAAACUCUGUUUAGCAUUGAAAUUCUGAAUCAUAACUAAAUAAGUUAAAACUUUCAACAACGGAUCUCUUGGUUCUGGCAUCGAUGAAGAACGCAGCGAAAUGCGAUAAGUAAUGUGAAUUGCAGAAUUCAGUGAAUCAUCGAAUCUUUGAACGCACAUUGCGCCCAUUAGUAUUCUAGUGGGCAUGCCUGUUCGAGCGUCAUUUCAACCCUUAAGCCCUUGUUGCUUAGUGUUGGGAGACUACGUUCUCAGCGUAGCUCCUCAAAGUUAGUGGCAGAGUCAGUUCAAACUCUAGGUGUAGUAAAUUUCUUCUCGCCUCUGUGGUUGGGCUGCCCCUCGCCGUAAAACACCCCUAAUUUUUAAAGGUUGACCUCGGAUCAGGUAGGAAUACCCGCUGAACUUAAGCAUAUCAAUAAGCGGAGGAAAAGAAACCAACAGGGAUUGCCCUAGUAACGGCGAGUGAAGCGGCAACAGCUCAAAUUUGAAAUCUGGCCUUCGGGUCCGAGUUGUAAUUUGUAGAGGAUGCUUUUGGCGCGGUGCCUUCCGAGUUCCCUGGAACGGGACGCCUUAGAGGGUGAGAGCCCCGUACGGUUGGACACCAAGCCUCUGUAAAGCUCCUUCGACGAGUCGAGUAGUUUGGGAAUGCUGCUCUAAAUGGGAGGUAAAUUUCUUCUAAAGCUAAAUAUUGGCCAGAGACCGAUAGCGCACAAGUAGAGUGAUCGAAAGAUGAAAAGCACUUUGAAAAGAGGGUUAAAUAGCACGUGAAAUUGUUGAAAGGGAAGCGUUUGCGACCAGACCUUUUCCUGGCGGAUCAUCCGGUGUUCUCACCGGUGCACUUCGCUAGGUUGAGGCCAGCAUCGGUUUCUGUAGGGGGAUAAAAGCUUGGGGAAUGUAGCUCCUUCGGGAGUGUUAUAGCCCCUUGCAUAAUACCCUUACGGGGACCGAGGACCGC